Molecule: non-coding RNA, 945 nt
Organism: Chrysemys picta bellii (western painted turtle)
Lineage: Eukaryota; Metazoa; Chordata; Testudines; Emydidae
Source: RefSeq, a predicted model, not a curated record
AGCCAAAAGCAUGGAUGUGUAUCCCUUACAUUUUUUUCCAGCUUUCCAAAUGAAGGCUGAAAUGCAUCUAAGGUACUCUAAGGCAUAUUCACUGACUGAAACAUGAACUGCUAAGCAGACCAGCGGUUGAGUGCUUCAGAUGGAAAACAGGCUGAGUAGUUUUUGGAAAGCAGAAGCAGUGCUAGAUCUGUUGAUAGAAUUGUUGUGUCUUGCAUCCGUGGUUUCUUCCUGAAUGAUUGACAGAGCUGCACUGACAGCAGCUCACUACCCCAGACCAAAAUUAUCAGGCUAAUGAGUCAAUGGUAGAAGGAGGAGGUGUGAAGCACCUUUAAUUGAAAGACUCCACACAUCUGCAGAGGCAUUUUAUGAGUGAAGCUGAUGGAGAAUGUUACAGAGGAGACUCUUGUUCUCUCUUUCAGGGAGCGUAGCAGCAGACCCAAGCUUGACAGAUUUCAUAUUUUACACACUGCGAUGCCACCAUGCGGGAGGUCAGUAUCUUUUCUCCGGUUAGGAUGUCAUUGUAUUUCAUCUUAACAAAUACACUGCAAAUCCUAAUGAAUACAUUGAUUUGUCUUCCUUUAACAGAUUUAUCCUUAGAUAAUAGAUCUAGUUUCUGUUAGCUACAAAGGCAGCAUCCAGACUGUGACUUCCAACAGCUUAAUCAAUCACUGGUAUUUCAGUCUGCAUCAAGACUGUUUGACCUGCCCGUUAAAUCUUUCCUCUGUGCACAGAUAGAAGUGCACACAGUUAAUUUAUCAAGAACUAAAAUUCAUACAAGAACUUCAAUAUUUAAAUACUGAAGUUCUUGGAUAUACAGGGACAAAUUGUGACAAGUAAAGACAGGUGUGCUUCUCAUAGUGCAAGUGCUCUUGGUAAUUCUGAACUGAUUUUGACAUUUUGCUGGUAUUGUACGGGGAGACUUUGGCAAACCAGUAAAGUGCCUAA